Molecule: long non-coding RNA, 270 nt
Filed under: Lathyrus oleraceus (garden pea)
Lineage: Eukaryota; Viridiplantae; Streptophyta; Magnoliopsida; Fabales; Fabaceae
Description: Pisum sativum (pea) long non-coding RNA (PSAT_LNC021882)
Source: RNAcentral
UCUGAGGCACUAAGUCACCAUAAAUCCGACUUGGGAAGUUCCGAAAUAAACGGAACCGGAGAUUACAUCACUUAUCAUCACAGGAACAUCCACUGAACGGAUGACAACCAGAUCCUCUGAACAAGUACUCUCAAAUUCACCCCGGGGAUCCGAAAUAAACGGAACCCGCUGAUAGAUAUCACAGACAGAAUUCCGGCGUGACAGGAGUAAGUACCCAAAGUCACCUCCAGUAACCAGAGUCACCAACAAGUCACCAACGGUACCUGUAAU